Molecule: unclassified non-coding RNA, 3433 nt
Filed under: Leishmania donovani
Lineage: Eukaryota; Euglenozoa; Kinetoplastea; Trypanosomatida; Trypanosomatidae
Description: gene:LdHU3.26.3090(CDS-product:hypothetical_prote in_conserved)
Source: RNAcentral
GCUUUGGGCGCAUUCCUCGCACACUGAGUGGGCAGCCUGCGCCGGCGCCACAAGUACGCCGCCCCCUCUUCCCUCCUUCGGUGGCAUCUGUGACAGUGCGGAGGGGCCGUAGGGGAGAGGCAGGGGCAGGUGGUACCGCCCUACGCGGAAAAGGACGAGCACACACACACACACACACACACGCAUCCACGGAGUGCUCCUUUCCUCGCGUUUCUUAUCUUCCUCUCUCGCCUGUUCUCCGUGCAGACAUGCCGCACCCCAAGGAGAACGACAGCGAUGUUCCGGCCUCGGUGGAGGUGCCGUUCCCGACUUCCCUUUUCUCGCGCAGCGCCGGCAGCAACACUGCACAGCAUGCCAAGGCUGUUGCUGAGACACUAUCGCCGGUGCCGAGUGCGUUGGGAAACGGAACUGCUGCCCGCCAGCACGGCGCUGUCGCUGAGGAGGUUCACAUGCGCAGCGCAUCGCCGACCCUUCUGCAGUCGGGCAUAGACGCGCUGCCGGCCCUGCGCGCCACAGAGACGCGACUGCGGCAAGCGCAGGAGACAGAGCUGAGCGUGCUGUUCCGUUUGCGACUCCUUACGGAGGCCUUAGUCGGUGCCGCGCGCCUGUCUAACGCGCUAGCUGUCGCAGGCGCGGCAACGGCGGCGGCACACGGGAGCGGCGGCGCUGAGGACGUCAGUGCGCUGCCCAGCGAGGGUACAUUUCGAGCUGCACUGCCGGCCGUGAUCGCUCGCCCCUUAACCACUGGGACUGACGAGGCGACGCGCAUACCAGCGGAGGCGCGCGUCUCGAUGCAGUGCGUUGAUAUGCCGGCAGCAGGCCUCUCCGCAGCGGCGAGAGGGCAGUACGCGGCUCUGCGCCGCGCUCUUGCACGGCACUUUUGUGAGCCGGAGGACGGGGACGUGGGCGGCACGGGUGAUGCCGCCGCCAGCAGCGCGCGCACUCCAAGCACUGCGACACCGGAAAACCCUCAGACCAUUGGGCAGUACGAGGCGACUCCUUCCGUGCUCGGCUCGCGGACCACUGAAGUCGUCGACACCAGCAGCACAGACGCGCCAAGUACCCACGGCGUUGUCGAAGACGGGGCAGGCGCUUUCAAUAACCCAGAUACUCGACAUCGUAGCGCAGUCGAGGCGCAGCGGCGCACGCGUUUCUUCAGCGAGCUGCGGUACUGCCCGCCGUCCCCACCGCAGCGAUCAGUGAGCCCACGCAGACAUCACGCCUCGACUGCUUCUUGUGAUCCGGAAAUGUCGACGGCAUCAAUGAACAUGGACAGCCGCAGCGCAUCGCGGGGCAGACGAGUACCCCACUCGCCGCCAUCAUCUCAUGUGCGUGGAUUGGCGGAUAGGCUUGUAGACACAAAGAGGGGCGGGGGCGCCGUGGCGCCGACGUUGGCGCUGCCAAAGCCUUCGCCGGCCUAUGUGGAAGACUCAUGCGCGGAGCCCGCCGCGAAAGGAGAGCGGGACGAAGUGAGGAAGGAGGCGGAGGGCGGCCACCGUCGUGAAGAGCCAAAUGAGGCUGCGCUAGCGUCACACACGCCAGCAGUAUCACCAAGUUUUGCGACGGCGCUGACAUGCGGACCCUCACCAAAUGCGGUGAAGGUUGAGCCUUGCAGCCCUUUGUCUCCAUGCAUUUCUCCGCUUUCAGCUCACCGAACCUCCGCGGUUACCGCGUGGGAGAGCAGCGCGGUCGCUGCUCCCGAUGGACAGCUCUCUCAGAACACCCCCACACCGCCGACGUUGAAGUCGUCGCCGCACCGACUCUCUCAGCCACUUAGCGCCACCCCUACCUCGACCUUUGGCGACGCGGACGAGGAGGGGAUGUACUUUCCCAUGCCUCCGCCCGCCAAGACGCAUCGCCGUGUUGAAGUCGAUGCCGAGCUUUCAUCCCGCUUCCCUGCCAUGGGCAACGGUGGUAGCGCUUCUACAGGGGCCGAUGCGGCUUCCGUUUUCUCCACAAUGUCGAGUUCAACUGCCUCAGCGCCGUCCCUUCGUCGUCGUCUAGCCUUUGACGGUGGCCAUGACGAGCCGGAUGCCGAGUCAGCAAGAGCGCCCCACUCGGAGAAGCGCGGAAGGGCGGCGAUUUCGUCGUCGAUGCACAUGAGGGACAGAAGCCGUAAGGAAGCACCACAAACGGUGAGCGCCGCGCGCGUUAUGCCACUGUCACCGACGCCGACGUGCGUGGUGACUGCCACAGACAUACUUGCCACCAUCACUGCCCUUCCACGCCCAUCGUCAUCGUCGUCGUCGCUCCUUUCAAAGCGGGCCUCUGCGCGGCGCGCACAUCGUGGCGGCAAGGAGAGCAGUGCGACGCGUAAGGUGAAUGCGUCGCCUGCAGAAGGUCAGCCGACGCAUCGUGGCGUGUACAAACGGAGACGGGGGAGGGGUGGCGAGUGGGGACUUGUCGGCAUGAGUGAUGAGGUCCUUGCGGCGGUGCCGUUGGCGGGUUUGCCAUCUCUUGGCAUGGAUGUGUCGUUGAGCGCUGCCGCUGGGUUGGGCCGACCGGUGUGCGAAGAAACUGCCAAUGACCGACAUCGGAGAUCGAGGACGGCACGCCGCACCGAGAGUGACGGCCAUCAACGCACAAUGUUCGAGGAGGAGCACGUUCCCUGUGGCUACGCGCGAACCCGUGAGCAACGGAUCGAGGGCGUCGUGCGGGCAGAGCAGGUGCGCAGCGCUGUGCGUGCAGCGUGUAGCCCACUGCCGACUGCAUCCUCACAGACCCCUCCGCGAUGCCUCGGGGCCGACACCGAGUGUGAUGGCGCGCUGCUGUCCCCCUCGCCGCCUCUCUCGCAGAACACACCACGCCAGUUCUGGGACAUUAGCUUCCCUUGACAGCCGAGGGCGGCGAAAGACGAGUCGACAAGCGUCGGCGAGACCGAGACGAUGGCAGAGCAAGUGCGUCUCCCCCCCUUUUCCGCAUGCGCGUACAAGCAGGUGUAACGCGAAGUAAAAAAAAAACGGAGCGCAUGCUCACUGCGCGACACGCGCUGCUGCUGCUGCUGUUUCGGCUGUGCACGCCUGCUUUCCCGCUCUUCCCUUCCCCUUUCUCGUAGCCAUCACCCCUUUUUUUCCUCGAGCGAAUAGAAUUAGCAGAAAGAGGCUGCAGAGGUGCGCGCUGCCACCGCCGGCAGGAGUUUUAGCUACGCCGGUUGGGCCUGACAUUCACCGAGCCUGUGGAGCUUCUUCUGCGCGGCUUGAGUGGUGGUGAUGUGUGUGUGUGUGUGUGUGUGUGUGGGGAUGCCUUCAGCCUGUGCGCCAUUGCCUUCUCCCUUUCUGCACCUCCUCCGCCACUGUGCAAGUCUGCACGGAAAUCCCGGUUGCGCCGCCACCGCUCCCUGUCUCUCACGUGUGUGCUCCGUUGCACAUUGUUGCGCGUUGCAUUCCUCUCAUCUGUGCUGCCGUAUGCGUCUCUCGAUCCUUCACUUGCCCGC